CCCCGCCGUACCAGUCAUCACCUUCUGAUUCGUGAUUUCUCUUCCACAUCCUUCUUUUUCUCCACAUCAAUCUGAAACCCGACCUGUGUGAUUCUGUGUAUCCUUCCUCUUUCCACCCACUUCUCACCAAUCCAUCAAGUGGGUCUUUUCCGAUUGAUCUGAUGAAGUUUUACUUUCGGCCGCCGCUUGAUGUUUCCAACCAUUCACGUCUCUACACCUCAAUCCCUCAACUAUUCAUUCGUCAUCCCUUCUCAUCAGUUGCCCAACUUUUAGGGUUGAAUGCAUCAACAAAGGUUCAUCUUUGCGGCAUACUUGCUUCCUGGGGAUUUAAGCAGAGAAGGAAGAAUUGAAUGUAUGCAAAAAUGGCAUGGAGAGUUGUUUUAGAUUCUGGAGUGUUGGGGUUGUGCUGUUUUGCCUUUGGAAGAGAGCCUUGCGGGUUUGUUGAUGGCUUAUGGCUAUAUAUGGAUACAAAGAGACCCCUCUAUGUAUAGUUUAUGUAGUUAGCCUUUGGGCAUUUGGGACACAGUAGGGGAUCUCCUAAAGAUAACAAGAAUCUCCACGAAGAAAUUGAAACCACAUAAUACUCCUCAUGCAGCCAUAACAUUGAAGUAAAAGAUCAGGUGCCUUGGGGAUGAAAUAUGUGUUUGCUGAGAGUUGGGCUUCAGAAUAUCUAAAUGUCAUCUUAUCCAAAUGGCCAAUUGAGAGGUGGAAAGUUCCAGAAUGCUGAUAAGGUUGAUGAUUUCAGGUUCCUUCUUCCUCUUAUAUUUCCAUUGAAAAAUUGACACUUUCCAUUUUUCAUCAUGAAAGUAGUUAGUUAAGAUUUUUGUUAAAAAAGACUGCAAUAAGAAGUGUUUAUGUGUUGCAAGAAUGUGUUGAAGGCCUCAAUUAUUGUGCAGGAGAAUCAGAAAAUGAAACUGUUUAGAUCAUCAUGAAUUGUGGUCAUGUAUUUACUCUUUCUCACAUUAAGCUACCUAUGAGUUACACUUGCAGGGAUACACAUAGUUCUCAUUCUUCUUCAUAGGGACUUUUGUAUCAUGCAGCAACGGAAAACCAAAGGAGCUUAAGGAUUUUAAUGAGAUAAAACAUUCUUGGAUUUUGGAUAAGAUGUGAAUCUCACUCCUUCUACAGAGAAAAAAUUGAAGCUCUAUUGCAUGAACUUGAUGAGGAAGAGAUGCAAAUGGAUGAAUUAGCAAAGAGGACUAUAGAAGUUGAAAGAAUUCAUUCCUUGAGGUGUUGAUGCUGUUAAACCUGUUGAAAAUGGCUCAUGACAAACUGCAGCUUUUAAACAUGAUGAAAAUAUUUAUACAAAUAUAGAAUAGUUGGUUGGUUGUCUCAUACAACUAUUGGUAGAUAGGGAUAAUGAGUAAUAGCUUUAGUGUGAUGGUGUUAGAUGAUCAUAUGUGAGGGAAUUGGAUAAAGGGAUAUUUGAAGGAAGGUGAUCAUGAAAAAGGCUACAUAUUCUCAUUUGAUACUGUGCCGAAAAACAAAAGACUUAUAGA
This is a long non-coding RNA of Lotus japonicus, 1499 nucleotides long. RefSeq lists it as uncharacterized. The transcript is spliced from 7 exons. NCBI's taxonomy places the organism in Eukaryota, Viridiplantae, Streptophyta, Magnoliopsida, Fabales, Fabaceae. The record is from RefSeq and is a predicted model, not a curated record.